Molecule: long non-coding RNA, 1599 nt
Filed under: Malus domestica (apple)
Lineage: Eukaryota; Viridiplantae; Streptophyta; Magnoliopsida; Rosales; Rosaceae
Description: long non-coding RNA (MDOM_LNC012917)
Source: RNAcentral
UGAACCAUAAGACUCUUUAACAACAAUAAAGAGAAGAAAGGAUUUUGAGAUUCAUUACCCUUGAAGCUCAGCCUUAUUUACACAAGGGAUUCACCCAAGUGGAGGGCCUUCAAGUCACCUCCUAACUCCUUAUAUCUUCCUUGUGUUUUUCUUCCUUUUGAUACUCCUUUGCACCUUGAGGAUGUGAGGAAAGGAUGUCCAAGAACACCAAAGAUUUAGUGUCUUUAAGUCUGCACACCAAGGAUGAGGUGUGAAAAUGAAUUGGAUGACUUAGAGGAAGAAAGAUUGCUAGCUAUCCUUCCCCUAAGUGGUCGGCCUCUAUGGAGAAAAAAGAGAGAAAAGGUUUCUCUUCUUUUCUUUUCCUCAAGAAAACCGUAGUGAGAGAAUGGCUAUAAAAUUGCCUUUGUACCACCUCACAUGUGAGUGGCAAACUUGCAAUUAACCCAAGUUUGCUACCACUUACCCUUGGCCGGUUUUGAUUUUGUUUUUGGGUUCAUUUCCAUUUAGUUUUAGUUGUCACACAACCUAAACUCAAUAGGCCUUGUGAACCAAAAACCCUUUUGGGCCCCGAAACCUAAAACCAACUUAAAAGCCCAAUACGAACCUUUUGUAAGAUUAAUUAACUAAUUAGUUAAUCAAUUAAUCUUGACCAUUCUCAAUUAAACUAUUUAAUUGCUUAUCCAUCUCAUAUAUAUUUCUUCACUUUCAUCCUUACUCGGUGUACGAUCCAUUAGGUUCCAAUUAGCGAGGUAGUGGGCGAUGGAUGGGCUAAUCCUGUGGGUGAUCUAUCGUGAUUUGAAACUACAUUUCAAUUCUCCCUUUGAUGAAGAUUAGUGUUUGCUAAUCCUUAGGGCUUCCAAAAACCAUGAGUGACAUCUAGCAGUAUGUCAUGGCUAACCAAGUUAAGUAGAAGUGGUUGGAGAACCUAUCCAGUUACAAUUAAAAUGCAAUACGGUCCUUUUCUAAUACAAUACUCUUAAUCACAUUGUUUGAGUGAUAGUUUGUUUCAUGUCUACUAUCCAAUGUCACAUUGUUCGAGUGAUAAUUUGUUUCAUGUCUACUAUCCAAUGUGAUACUUCUUUAUAUGAUUCAAUUGAAUAUGAUUCGGAACAAACUUCCUAAGUCAUAUUCGUAUACUUUGGCCAAAGACUCCCGAAUCAUAUCUCAGAGUAUUCUCCUUCCACCAUGGAAGGUUAGAGAUCCCUUGUUGUGCAUUCAUAUGCCUACAUGACUAGAUAGCUUAACCCCAACAAUGCCGUGGACACUCUCAAUGGAAUUCCUUUAAAAUGAUCAAAGAUCAAGGACCCAACCAUUAGACAUCUAUGAUGCCUCAGUUCAAAGGACUACUUUGCAUAUUGCAACUUAAUAGUUCUUACAAGACAUGUAUGUUUGAACUCUUUUUUUAUCGUUGUUCAGUGUACUCAAUUACUUAAGCACCUAUGUGUUUGUCUUAGUGUCCAACACUAAAUGACUUGAGACUAGGGGUGGGCAAACGAGUAUAGGAACUGCGGGUCGGUUCCUAAUUUUUGAAAAGAGAAACGGGGCAAGCCGGGCUAGGCCUUUGAAACUUUAGGUUCGUGCUGGUUCCAUAAGUGUAGG